CUACAGAGACUGCAAGCGUUAUUCGGAUUCACUGGGCGUAAAGGGUGCGCAGGCGGCCGUGUGUGUAAGGUGUGAAAUCCCGGGGCUCAACCCCGGAACUGCGCCUUAAGCUACGUGGCUAGAGUAUUGGAGAGGGUAGUGGAAUUCACGGUGUAGCAGUGAAAUGCGUAGAUAUCGUGAGGAACACCAGAGGCGAAGGCGACUACCUGGACAAUUACUGACGCUCAGGCACGAAAGCGUGGGGAGCAAAAGGGAUUAGAUACCCCUGUAGUCCACGCCCUAAACGGUGCACACUAGGUCUUGGCGGAUUCGACCCCACCAGGGCCCAAGCUAACGCGUUAAGUGUGCCGCCUGAGGACUACGGCCGCAAGGCUAAA
RNAcentral lists this ribosomal RNA (377 nucleotides) under uncultured bacterium. RNAcentral describes it as "bacterial SSU rRNA". It matches the Rfam family "Bacterial small subunit ribosomal RNA", at positions 523 to 898 of the family's 1533-position model. The record is from RNAcentral.